RNAcentral lists this transfer RNA (74 nucleotides) under Actinomycetota bacterium. RNAcentral's name for it is "tRNA-Asp". It matches the Rfam family "tRNA". Rfam says of the family: Transfer RNA (tRNA) molecules are approximately 80 nucleotides in length. Lineage: Bacteria; Bacillati; Actinomycetota. The record is from RNAcentral.
GGGGGCGUAGUUCAGUUGGUUAGAACGCCGGCCUGUCACACCGGAGGCCGCGGGUUCGAGUCCCGUCGCUCCCG